CUACGGGGCGCUGCAGCUGAGGAAAUUUUACAAUGCUCGCAAGAGUGAUAGAAUGAAUCAGAGUGUUUCUCUUAGAGAAACUUUUUUCUGUUGUAAAAAGACAGAGGAAUAAGGACUGGGAAAGACCGGUGCCAGCCGCCGCGGUAAUACCGGCGGUCCAAGUCGCAUCCACAUUUAUUGGGUCUAAAACAUCCGUAGCUUGUUUUAUAAGUCCCUUGUGAAAUCCUACAUCUCAAGUGUAGGGCGUGCAAGGGAUACUAUAUUACUAGAGACCGGAAGGCGUAAAGAGUAUGGUUGAGGUUGCGGUAAAAUGUGUUAAUCUCAAAUAGACUAACAAUUAGCGAAGGCACUUUACGGGGACGGAUCUGACAGUGAGGGAUGAAGGCUAGGGGCGCAAAAGGGAUUAGAUACCCUAGUAGUC
This 421-nucleotide ribosomal RNA is filed under the name uncultured archaeon. RNAcentral describes it as "partial 16S ribosomal RNA". It matches the Rfam family "Archaeal small subunit ribosomal RNA", at positions 323 to 746 of the family's 1478-position model. The record is from RNAcentral.